GGUUCUCCUGUGUUCCAGUUGUGAUUGGCUUCUCUGGGUUGUAUGUUAGGUUAAUUACAAGUUAGGCAGCAUUUCGCUGUACCUGUUCUUUAUGUUUAAUCUGAUUUUUCUGUUGUUGAUUCCAAUAAGGUGUUGCUUACUCCACUUUCAGUAGGACUAGACUUUGGUAUGGUAUUUCCUUUUGUGGACAAUGUAUUAGGUUCCACAUUAAAAAUCUCAAUAUACUUGAAGCC
RNAcentral lists this long non-coding RNA (233 nucleotides) under Mytilus galloprovincialis (Mediterranean mussel). The record is from RNAcentral. Lineage: Eukaryota; Metazoa; Mollusca; Bivalvia; Mytilida; Mytilidae.